CCCACCCAUUAGCAUUCUCUCCCCUACCACACAACAGCUAGCAUGAGAGGAGGGUGAAGACUAUCACUUGCACCACCUUCAUCUAGAUGCCCUUUGACCUGUGAAUUCACAAGCUUCGAUCUUGUGACCCAACAGAAAACAAGACUGUGUACUCUUUGGUCAAUAAAAAAAUAGAGCAGCCGCUAAUUAAUAAGUUCACAUCAAAGCUUUGCCUCGUUGUUUUCUUACUGUUUCUUGGCACAUGUCUAGGGAAAAAAAUGCCUUCUUAAUCACAAACAAAAUAAAACUUAAUCACCAAAAAAUACUGUUUUUUUUCUCUCUGUGCCUGCUAGGAUUUUCUUGUUAGCAAUGUUGGCACCUCUGCUAAUGACUUGCCUUGUAAGGAAAAGGGGCAAAGUUGAGCAGCUCUGUUCCAGCUGAGGUCACAGCUAAUAUUCGGGCCAGUAACAGAAAGCUGAACUGAAGGAAGCUAGUCAGAUCCAUUGCAUGUGAGUAAGCACCUUUGCUCAGCUGAAAAUGACUCACUCAGAUCUUGUGACCUGGCCUGAAGUAGCGAGAGCCCUCUGCCUCACAUUCUUCAGGAAAUGAAUGAUGCUGCAAUCAAAACUCGGCUGGAAGUAAAGCAGGGUGGGGGUGAGGGGGCUUUGACAGAUAGAGAAAAGAAAUUUAGCUGUGGCAGAUUCACAUCCCAGGCAGACAGCGGGCAGUUGUAGAUGGUCCCCCAUACACGAGGGAGCAUCCAGAUGCCAGGUCCUGCCACAGGGGCCACAAGGAAGUGGAGUGUGUCCACACAUUCACGUCACCGCUCACCUCAGUCAUCUGGGUGCUAAUGGAUACCGACUCAACAGACUUCCUCGAGGGGUUUCAAAAAAAGGAGAAACAGAACACACAGUGAACACCGAACUCCAUUUCCCACAAGGUCUGGCGGUUCAACUGGAAAACAACAACGAGCUUGACAACACCACAAAUCAUGGCUGACAGCGAGUUACCCAGGUCAAGCUGUGCAGCUCAGUGUCGCAAAUCAUGUCUCCAAACCCCUGCUGUGUUAACCACCACUACGUACAUCAAAUAUCCAGAGUCAACCCAUCCCUGCCCUCUUGACCUUGAUCUCUGCUUCAUGCUUUGGAUUUGUUUGUUUGCUGACAGUUCUAUUUAAAUAAAAGCAUUCUUACAUCAAAAGUCCAGCGUCAACCCAUCCCUGCCCUUUUGACCUUGAUCUCUGCUUCACGCUUUUGAUUUGUUUGUAUGUUGGCAGUCUUUUUUUAAAUAAAAGCAUUCUCUGCAAAUGUUGCCAUCCCUGCCGCCUGACAGUAUACUUUGCCAUCAACAUGGAGG
Molecule: long non-coding RNA, 1335 nt
Organism: Ictalurus punctatus (channel catfish)
Lineage: Eukaryota; Metazoa; Chordata; Actinopteri; Siluriformes; Ictaluridae
Source: Ensembl